This is a long non-coding RNA of Gallus gallus (chicken), 3335 nucleotides long. The record is from Ensembl. Lineage: Eukaryota; Metazoa; Chordata; Aves; Galliformes; Phasianidae.
CAAAUGGCGGCCGAUGGAUGUGGGGGGUGGAAGUGGGGGGGGGGGGGGCGAAUGGGGGCGAAUGGUGGCGAAAUGGGUGGAAAAGGAUCCAAAAAAUGGUGGAAAAUGAUGGAAAAUGAUCCAAAUUGAUCCAAAAAUGGUGGGGAAAAUGGAGGAAAGUGAUGAAAAAUGGUGGAAAAUGAUGCAAAAUGAUCCAAAAUGGAGGAAAAUGAUCCAAAAUGAUCCAAAAAUGGUGGAAAAUAAUCCAAAAUGAUGCAAAUUGAUCCAAAAAUGGUGGCAAAAACGGAGGAAAAUGAUCAAAAAUGGAGGAAAAUGAUCCAAAAAAUGGUGGAAAAUGAUCAAAAAUGGAGGAAAAUGAUGGAAAAUGAUCCAAAUUGAUCCAAAAAUGGUGGCAAAAAUGGAGGAAAGUGAUGAAAAAUGGAGAAAAAUGAUCCAAAAUGAUUUAAAAAAUGGAGGAAAAUGAUCCAAAAAUGGAGGGAAAUGAUCAAAAAUGGAGGAAAAUGAUCCAAAUUGAUCCAAAAAUGGUGGCAAAAAUGGAGGAAAUGAUCUAAAAUGGAGGAAAAUGAUCCAAAAUGAUCCAAAUUGAUCCAAAAAUGGUGGGGAAAAUGGAGGAAAGUGAUGAAAAAUGGUGGAAAAUGAUCCAAAAUGAUGAAAAGUGGAGGAAAAAUUGGUAGAAAAUGAUCCAAAAUGAUCCAAAAUGGAGGAAAAUGAUCCAAAAAUGAUCGAAAAUGGUGGAAAAUGAUCCAAAUUGAUCAAAAAUGGGGGGAAAUGGUCCAAAAUGAUCCAAAUUGAUCCAAAAAUGGUGGGGAAAAUGGAGGAAAGUGAUGAAAAAUGGAGAAAAAUGAUCCAAAAUGAUGAAAAGUGGAGGAAAAAUUGGUGGAAAAUGAUCCAAAAUGAUCCAAAAUGGAGGAAAAUGAUCCAAAAAUGAUCGAAAAUGGUGGAAAAUGAUCCAAAUUGAUCAAAAAUGGGGGGAAAUGGUCCAAAAUGGUCCAAAUUGAUCCAAAAAUGGUGGGGAAAAUGGAGGAAAGUGAUGAAAAAUGGUGGAAAAUGAUCCAAAAUGAUGAAAAGUGGAGGAAAAAUUGGUGGAAAAUGAUCCAAAAUGAUCCAAAAUGGAGGGAAAUGAUCCAAAAAUGAUCGAAAAUGGUGGAAAAUGAUCCAAAUUGAUCAAAAAUGGGGGGAAAUGGUCCAAAAUGAUCCAAAUUGAUCCAAAAAUGGUGGCAAAAAUGGAGGAAAAUGAUCUAAAAUUGAGGAAAAUGAUCUAAAAUGGAGGAAAUGAUCCAAAAAUGGUGGGGAAAAUGGAGGAAAGUGAUGAAAAAUGGAGAAAAAUGAUCCAAAAUGAUUAAAAAAAUGGAGGAAAAUGAUCCAAAAAUGGUGGGAAAUGAUGAAAAAUGAUCCAAAUUAAUCAAAAAUUGGGGAAAAUGGUCCAAAAAUGGUGGCAAAAAUGGAGGAAAAUGAUCAAAAAUGGAGGAAAAUGAUCCAAAAUGAUCCAAAUUGAUCCAAAAAUGGUGGCAAAAAUGGAGGAAAAUGAUCUAAAAUGGAGGAAAAUGAUAAAAAAUGGAGGAAAAUUACCCAAAAUGAUCCAAAAAUGGAGGAAAAAAUGGAGGAAAAUGAUCAAAAUUGAUCAAAAAUGGGGGAAAAUGGUCCAAAAUGAUCACAAAAUGGAGGAAAAUGAUCAAAAAUGGAGGAAAAUGAUCCAAAAUGAUCCAAAAUGGAGGGAAAUUAUCCAAAAAUGGGGGAAAAUAAUGAAAAAUGAUCCAAAUUGAUGAAAAAUGGUGGAAAAUGAUCCAAAAUGAUCACAAAAUGGAGGAAAAUGAUCCAAAAUGAUCCAAAUUGAUCCAAAAAUGGUGGCAAAAACGGAGGAAAAUGAUCAAAAAUGGAGGAAAAUGAUCCAAAAAAUGGUGGAAAAUGAUCAAAAAUGGAGGAAAAUGAUGAAAAAUGAUCCAAAUUGAUCCAAAAAUGGUGGGGAAAAUGGAGGAAAGCGAUGAAAAAUGGAGGAAAAUGAUAAAAAAUGGAGGAAAAUUACCCAAAAUGAUCCAAAAAUGGAGGAAAAAAUGGAGGAAAAUGAUCAAAAUUGAUCAAAAAUGGGGGAAAAUGGUCCAAAAUGAUCACAAAAUGGAGGAAAAUUACCCCAAAUGAUCCAAAAAUGGUGAAAAAUGGUGGAAAAUGAUCAAAAAUGAUCCAAAAUGGAGGAAAAUGAUCCAAAAUGAUCACAAAAUGGAGGAAAAUUAUCAAAAAUGAUCAAAAAAUGGUGAAAAAUGGUGGAAAAUGAUCAAAAAUGAUCCAAAAUGGAGGAAAAUGGUCCAAAAUGAUCACAAAAUGGAGGAAAAUUACCCCAAAUGAUCCAAAAAUGGAGGAAAAAAUGGAGGAAAAUGAUCAAAAUUGAUCAAAAAUGGGGGAAAAUGGUCCAAAAUGAUCACAAAAUGGAGGAAAAUUACCCCAAAUGAUCCAAAAAUGGAGGAAAAAAUGGAGGAAAAUGAUCAAAAUUGAUCAAAAAUGGGGGAAAAUGGUCCAAAAUGAUCACAAAAUGGAGGAAAAUUACCCCAAAUGAUCCAAAAAUGGUGAAAAAUGGUGGAAAAUGAUCAAAAAUGAUCCAAAAUGGAGGAAAAUGAUCCAAAAUGAUCACAAAAUGGAGGAAAAUUAUCAAAAAUGAUCAAAAAAUGGUGAAAAAUGGAGGAAAAUGAUCAAAAAUGAUCAUAAAUGAUGGAAAAAUGGAAUAAAAAUUGACGGAAAAUGGUGAAAAAUGAGGAAAAAUGGUUGAAAAAAGGACCAAAAAAUGGGAAAAUGAGGGAAAAAUGGGGAAAAAUUUGAAUAAAAAUGAGGAAAAUUUGAAUGAAAAAUGGGGGAAAAAUGGGGAAAAUGGGAAAAAAAUGAGAAAAAAAUGAGAAAAAAUGGGGAAAAAAUGAAUAAAAAUGAGGAAAAUGAGGAAAAAAAUGAAUAAAAAUGAGGGAAAAUGAGGGAAAAAUGGGUCAAAAAAUGAGGAAAAAAAGAAUAAUAAAUGGUUCAAAAAUUAGGAAAAAUUGAAUAAAAAUGAGGAAAAAUUGAAUGAAAAUUGGGAAAAAAUCGGGAAAAAAUUGGGAAAAAUGAGUAAAAAAUGUGAAAAAAAUGAGAGAAAAUGAGGAAAAAAUGAGUAAAAAUGAGGGAAAAAAAUGAGGAAAAAAUUAAAUAAAAAAUGAUCAAAAAUGUGGAAAAAUGAGGAAAAAAAUGGUUAAAAAAAGCCUAAAAAAUGAGGAAAAAUUAUUCAAAAAUGGUUUAAAAAGACCAAAAAAUGGGAAAAAAUAUGAGAAAAAAAUGGGGAAAAAAAUGAAUAAAAAUGAGGAAAAAUUGAAUGAAAAAUG